This is a long non-coding RNA of Xenopus laevis (African clawed frog), 3051 nucleotides long. RefSeq lists it as uncharacterized. The transcript has 3 exons. The record is from RefSeq and is a predicted model, not a curated record. NCBI's taxonomy places the organism in Eukaryota, Metazoa, Chordata, Amphibia, Anura, Pipidae.
UUUAAUUUGAAAAGGACUUUUAUUAUACAGAUUUUUGUGGCUGGGUGACAGGUCCACUUUAAAGACCAGGCACAGUAUACUAAAAAUGAAAAGAGAUUGGAGAUGGAUAUUGAGACAGUGGAGAAAGAUAUUAUGGAUGUCAAACAAAAUAAAUUUUUAAGAGAUAAAGCUGAUUACGAACAAGACAGGGUGUUCAUAUGGGGAAUGAAAUUGAACAAGCAACAUGGAAGAUGGGAGCGUUUAAAACCAUCUUUAAAAACAUCUAAAUAUCAUAAUACGAGAUUUAAGAGUAAUUCGGUUGAUAUCGAUGCUGAUGCAAUGUCCUAGUGUCUCUUUUUUAGCAACAUCUGGGAGCGACCUGGACCUGAUUCAAGACAAGACGACGAACGGGAGAGGGAGCUCAUGAAAGAAAAGAAACCAAGAAAACAAGGAGAGGAUCGAGAGGCAGAGGGAUUAAGAGGGAAGAGAGAUGUAGAGACCAGGAAAGGAAGAGGAAAGAACAUCAACAAGAGGAAGUAGUAAAAUACUUGUGAAUAGGAAAUAUACAUGGAUGAUGAAAGCUCUUUUACGGGACAAUGAAGUAAACGAGAAAUGUGGGAUGAUGUUUGUACAUUAACAGUUGUGAAGAGAAGAUACUAUUUAUUAAUAUAUCUGAGCGCCCGCAUUGACAGAGCUCAUCUUGUUCCGUGUGAAUUGGGAUUGCUUGCGUCCGUGGAGUUCUCGCGGUAUGCCGCUGGAGGGGAGACUUGCUUCCUAGACGCCGAGUGGGUGAGCUCCGCUAUUUAUCCUCAUAUACCUGCUUUGUACAUUACUAGCCAAUUCAUCUGCUGAAAGGACGAUGCCUAAGUAAGAUUGUGAUCUUGAAGCCACCACUGAAGCUGGUGUCUUGUCUGUCUGUUGAGGAGAACCUUUGUCUCCAAGGAGGAAUGCUGGCGAUCCCAUCUGAGGAGAUCCUUGGCAUGAAGAGGUCUCAUGUAAAACUUCUCUCAGGGUACUGCAUCUAUAGUUGCAGUCAUCAGACCCAACACCUUCAUCAACUCUCUAAAAGAGGACUAUGGUUUGACGAUAAUUUCUUGAACUGAUUCCUUGAGCCUGAGAAAUUUCUCUGGUGGUAAAUAGACUUUCAUAUUGGAUGAAUUGAUUUUCAUCCCUAGGAACCAGACAGCUCACAGGAAACUGCCCAGCAUGAAUGCAGACCUUGUCUAAACCACGCUAAACAAAACAACAUACCUUUAUAAGCAACUGCAUACUUAUGCUUGGAACUUGGAGCACACAGUUACAUCACCGCGUCCGAAAAGUCACGCGUUCACUUUGUCACACAGUGAAUAGUCGCAGAGAAGAGCAAACCUCAGCUGCACAGAAUAUCUCAAGCAGGCAACUAACCAAGAGGCACUUCUGCUGCUUCUGGAUCUUCUACCCCUGGGGUAGUUCAAUCCUAUGAUCUUUAGGUCCCCUUGAGACCUGGAACUGACAGCCUCUAUAAAAAAGGGAAAAAAAAUAGUACUGGACAAACACAACUCAUUCUUCUAUGCAGGUAGGACAAAAAACACUGGUGACCUCCAGGGUUAGUGCCUAUUUAUGGGUGGGGUUAAUUAACCUUUUCUCUUCACUGUCCUACAUAGCAGGUUGAAUGAAAUAAAAUGUAUUGGUUGCUGCCAUACAAGGACAGAAGGGACCAUGGUGUUUUAUGCACAUUGCAUCCUGUCCUAUGGGAAGAAAAUUAGCCUUUUAAUGUGCAAAUUUCUCACAUUGCUGAAAGUUAGUUGAUGUGUCUGCUGCACAUAGGAUUUAUUCUAUUAGCCUAUUCUUUGUUCUCAAGCUUUUAUAACCAAACCCACAGAAACUGGUCUCCUCUGACAGCAAUGUGUUGGGCUGUGAAAAAACUGACCUAGACAUGGAAAAUGGUUGACCUUAAAGUGUUAAACUAAAAUCCAGCCUCAAAACCAUCCAAUCUCUGCUACUCCUGUUCCUCUGUAAUGACAUCUCUGAUCUUCUGCGUUAUUAAAUUUUAGGAGUUUUCUUUGAAGUUUAACAUUUAUUAUUGAAAGAUAAUCUGCCUAUGUAAAAUGGGCACAGAUCCACAGCAGCCAAGCCAUCGGAUAUUUUCCUUGCCCCGUUUAUGCAAUUAAAUUGUUUGGUUUUUUUUUAUAUUAUUACAUUUGUUUUAAAAACUUACUUUGAUCUUCAGGUUGUUAGAAUGCAGAACAAAAAAUUUAAUCAAAAUAGCAUAACAUCCUGGGUAAAAAAAUACUGGAAGAUAUAAUGCAUACAUUUUUGACAAUAAUUUUGCAGAUAGGCAGCCAAUUGAAUAUUGUGCUCUGAUAAGGUGUCAGAUUGCACCAUCCCCUUCCAGACGUGAACCAAGAGGAAUUAACAAAGACCAAUUAAUUACAAAAGUCCUGCUCACAACUGGCAUGCCAUGCGGUCGCACAUUGGACUGCACUACUGCUAAGAUUUAAGGGAUUCAAAAUUACACUGCGUUGGUACUGUACACCUGCUAUUCUCAGAAUUAAUCAGGGGCAUAACUAUAGAGGAAGCAGACCCUGUGGCUGCAGAGGGGUCCAGGAGGUAUAGGGGUAUAGAUCCUGUGGCUGCAGAGGGGGUCCAGGAGGCCCUAAUUCAGAUAUAAUUUAAAUAAAACUUGGUAAAAUAUCUAGAUAUUUUCAGGUUUUAAAAAUAAUUUGCUGUGGAGGCAAGUAAUAUCUAGUUACACCACUGGCAUUAAUGCUGAGCAGUAAGCUCUUGGUGCAGUACUGAAUUAACUGUGAUAUCCCUUGCUAAGAAUGUUUGAUGGGCAGGAUAAACAUGCCAUUUAUCACACCAAUGAAUAAAUAAAACAUACCUGCCAUCAGGAUGUCUCUAAGGAGCUGGUAACUACCAGUGCUUCCAACUACCCUGCUACAAAAAUAACUUUUAUGAAGUGCCAGAAUGAAGCAUGAAACAUGUCAGGUGAUCUGAUAUGCAAUGGUAACUAUAUCUCCUUAAGGUGUCUUUUCCGCUUUAAUUUAAUAAAGAAGCAAAUAAAGUUGUUUCUACUUUUUAAAUGUUGAA